GUGAUACUAUUUAACGGCCGCGGUACCCUAACCGUGCGAAGGUAGCAUAAUCACUUGUUCUUUAAAUGGGGACUCGUAUCAACGGCAUCACGAGGGUUAUACUGUCUCCUUUCCCUAAUCAGUGAAACUGAUCUCUCCGUGAAGAAGCGGAGAUAAAAAUAUAAGACGAGAAGACCCCAUGGAGCUUUAAACCCAGCAACUACCUUUGUUUAAACACACCCUCAUAAGCAACAAAGCCCUAAUUGUCUGGUUUUAGGUUGGGGUGACCGCGGAGUACAAAUCAACCUCCACGAUGAACGGGCUAGCCCCCUUAUCCAAGAGUCACACCUCUAAGAAUUAGUAAUCUAACAUAAACUGAUCCGACUAUCGAUCAACGAACUAAGUUACCCUGGGGAUAACAGCGCAAUCCACUUUAAGAGCUCCUAUCGACAAGUGGGUUUACGACCUCGAUGUUGGAUCAGGGUAUCCUAGUGGUGCAGCAGCUACUAAAGGUUCGUUUGUUCAACGAUUAAAACCCU
RNAcentral lists this ribosomal RNA (518 nucleotides) under Aglyptodactylus australis. Its description in RNAcentral is "partial 16S ribosomal RNA". It matches the Rfam family "Bacterial large subunit ribosomal RNA", at positions 1914 to 2597 of the family's 2925-position model. Lineage: Eukaryota; Metazoa; Chordata; Amphibia; Anura; Mantellidae. The record is from RNAcentral.